GGCCGCGAAUUCGCCCUUAGAGUUUGAUCAUGGCUCAGGACGAACGCUGGCGGCGUGCCUAAUACAUGCAAGUGGAACGCGUACCGACAAAGUGAGUCUUCGGACGAUCUGCGUCAUUUGUACGAGUCGCGAACGGGUGAGUAACGCGUGGGUAACCUGCCUUUUAGCGGGGGACAACAGUUGGAAACGACUGCUAAUACCGCAUAACAAUGGUUAAGUCAUCUUAAUCAUUUGAAAGGUGCAACUGCACCGCUAAGAGAUGGACCCGCGUUGGAUUAGCUAGUUGGUAGGGUAAAAGCCUACCAAGGCGACGAUCCAUAGCCGACCUGAGAGGGUGAUCGGCCACACUGGGACUGAGACACGGCCCAGACUCCUACGGGAGGCAGCAGUAGGGAAUCUUCGGCAAUGGGGGGAACCCUGACCGAGCAACGCCGCGUGAGUGAAGAAGGUUUUCGGAUCGUAAAACUCUGUUGUGAGAGAAGAACGGCAAGGAGAGUGGAAAGCUCUUUGUGUGACGGUAUCUCACCAGAAAGGGACGGCUAACUACGUGCCAGCGGCCGCGGUAAUACGUAGGUCCCGAGCGUUGUCCGGAUUUAUUGGGCGUAAAGCGAGCGCA
RNAcentral lists this ribosomal RNA (616 nucleotides) under uncultured bacterium. Its description in RNAcentral is "partial 16S ribosomal RNA". It matches the Rfam family "Bacterial small subunit ribosomal RNA", at positions 1 to 573 of the family's 1533-position model. The record is from RNAcentral.